GGGCCGAUAGCUCAGUCGGAAGAGCGCCGCACUCGCAUUGCGGAGGUCGUGGGUUCGAGUCCCAUUCGGUCCACCA
This 76-nucleotide transfer RNA is filed under the name Chloroflexota bacterium. RNAcentral's name for it is "Chloroflexi bacterium tRNA-Ala". It matches the Rfam family "tRNA". Rfam says of the family: Transfer RNA (tRNA) molecules are approximately 80 nucleotides in length. Their secondary structure includes four short double-helical elements and three loops (D, anti-codon, and T loops). The record is from RNAcentral. Lineage: Bacteria; Bacillati; Chloroflexota.